Long non-coding RNA from Perognathus longimembris pacificus (Pacific pocket mouse), 2514 nucleotides. RefSeq lists it as uncharacterized. Lineage: Eukaryota; Metazoa; Chordata; Mammalia; Rodentia; Heteromyidae. The record is from RefSeq and is a predicted model, not a curated record. The transcript has 4 exons.
AAGCUGAGUUAGCAGCAUCCUAGCUUGAAAACUUGCAAAACUGCUAGAAUCUUCCAUUUUAAUUUCACAUCAAGCCACCUGGAAUGCCCACCCUAGGGGUCGCUGAGCAGCAAGUCCCUUGAAACCGAGAAAGCCACACUGGAGAAGGUCAGACAGCUUGGAUGGAGAAAAGCAAGCAAAGCUAUUCCACAUGUAUUUUUCACACAGUCAAAUUUAACUAAAAUGUGCUCCCUGGUAGUGCUUUUAACUAACAAGCAGGCAAUAUAUUGCACUGUAAAAUGUUUUAUUUUAACACCUUACAGUUUUUAGCUUGGUGGUGGUUGCAGGUAUAUCCAUUAAAAGCAACACAGACUAUAAAUCAGAAUUCCAUAGCAUUUCACAGCAUAUGAAUCUAUUCUGCUGGUGAGCACACAUCUCGAAUUGACUGGUGAUGGGGGGGGAGGUUGUGUGUGUGACAUGUUUGUGCAGGGGAGAAGAGACCACUCUAUCCAUGUGAAUUAUGAUUUCUCAGACAGGUGACUGUAUGUAGACAAGAGACACCACCGGAGUUUAUUGUAGCUGUUUAGAAACAGAUUCUGUGCUACUUGUCUGCAGAGGAAUCGUCUUUUUUUUUUUUUUAAGAAAAAUACAGAGGCAAACCAUUCGCAAAGUUACAAUUCACAGUUCACUAUACCACAGUGUGAUACCCGUUCUUACAUGUGUCCAAGUUCAUAGGAGUAACUGUGACUAAUUCUCAAUAUCUAAGACACUAACGCUUCUUCUGAAAUUAAAGCUAUGUUCAGUGUUUGCCAUGGAGUCUCUUCUCAGAUGAAGAGAUUUUUCAUGAGUCAUAAAUCUUUUAGGUCACUGCUAAAAGAAAAAAAAGGAUGCACUGGCUUUAAGGGAAUGUACUCCUUACAUUUAAAAAAUAAAUAAAUGCUAAAAGAGUCUCUGCCACAUACAGACGCUGUGUGAUUAUUUUACAUAUUUCAUUCUUUUGAUCAAUAUUUUCUUUGCUUUUUUUGUUUGUUUGCAUUUUCACUUCCAAAAAAGGGAACCUAGGAAUAAUGCAAGUUACAAAAACAGAUGUAGAAAAUAUGUUUUAAAGCGGCUUAAAUUUCCAUAUUUUACAAUAGAUAUUUCACACCUGCAUAGAAAGGUUGACACCCAGCAGAUGCAUCUAGCAGCAUGUGAUUAACAGAGGGCUUUUACCAAGGAAAAAAAAAUCUAUAUCCAGAGAAAUCUAUCCACUGGAAUAAACUAGCUCCUAUCUUUUGCUUUUUCUUCACUUUGUUUAAAGGACAGCUUCCCAAGAAGAUGCUGGAAAGAUCCACUCACUUCUAUACACAACAACAUCAAAUAUUGCUUAUGAUUGGCACUGUCCUUUCUAAGUACUUCAGGGGACUUAAAGGCCAUGACAAUAUUUAACUACUCAUUUCUGCUUACAUGGCUGUGGUAGAAAGAACCACAGAAUAGUGAUCCCUCCAAAAGAGAAAAAAAUUAGAGAGUGGCACCGUGGAAUUUAUGAAUGAGAGUGUUUGGGCUGCAAAGCAUUCCCAUUAUAACCCUCAGCCACCACAAAACUGCUGUGUAAUGGGAAGGGAACUUUUUCCCAUGCAAAGAACUCCGCUGUUGGCACCAGCGCAUGUGCUACAGGACACACACCUGUGGGCAAUCUUUCUCCCUCUCCGGGAGCCCAGCCCUUGCCUGCAUCCCAGAUCAUAGAGAAGUCUACAUCUGAAAAGACCACAGAUCUAAGAGGAACAGGCUGAGGGAUCGAUAAACCCUGGAGGUCAUUCCAUCAGCUCAGUCUAAAGGUAAGGACAAGGACACACAGGUAUAGGCAGGCACAGGCACACACACACACACACACACACACACACACACACAAUAAACACUUUGCAUGAGCACAGACCAUCAGACAUCUCAGCUUCUUCAGCCCAUCUCAAAGCCAUUUGUCCUGCCUAUGUCUAAAGGCUGACCUUCUUAGAGUUUAUUUACCCAGAACUAUGAGGAACCAAUUCAAAUGAUAUCCUGAAUGCCAACCUGGCUGAGAAACAAUCCAUUUCCUCUAAACAAGUUUGGGUAUAUUACUAAUUUCCCAAAGGAAAAAAAAGGUGUGUAGGGGUGUGUGUGUGUGUGUGUGUGUGUGUGUGUGUGUGUGUGUGUGUGUGUGUGUGUGUGUGUGUGUGUGUGUGUGUGUGUGUUGGUUUCCCAGCCAAAAAAAAAAAAAAAAACCCAUAAUGAGUCCCAAAAUAUUUACCAUCUUUCUUGGCUAACUUCAACAAAUAAACAUAUCUUGUAAACAGAAUUAUACCAUGGAUUUCUUAUUUAUUAGUCUAAGUUAAUGGUUAAAAAUCUAAGUUCUUAAAUUCAAUACAAAACUUACAUGUUUUCAUGACUUCCUGAUGUGUUACGUAUAUUAGUUCUUACUUAUCAAAUAUUCACAGUAAAAGGUAUGAAAGGUUAAAGAGGAAGUCAUGAUAAGGAACUACUAGGUACAUGGCUUUAGGUAAGCUAGUAUGGACAGUGAAG